This 198-nucleotide ribosomal RNA is filed under the name uncultured bacterium. RNAcentral's name for it is "partial 16S ribosomal RNA". It matches the Rfam family "Bacterial small subunit ribosomal RNA", at positions 328 to 539 of the family's 1533-position model. The record is from RNAcentral.
ACGCUCGACACCUACGGGAGGCAGCAGUGGGGAAUAUUGCACAAUGGGGGAAACCCUGAUGCAGCGACGCCGCGUGAAGGAAGAAGUAUUUCGGUAUGUAAACUUCUAUCAGCAGGGAAGAAAAUGACGGUACCUGAGUAAGAAGCACCGGCUAAAUACGUACCAGCAGCCGCGGUAAUCUGAGCGGGCUGGCAAGGC